Molecule: ribosomal RNA, 460 nt
Filed under: uncultured bacterium
Lineage: Bacteria
Description: partial 16S ribosomal RNA
Rfam family: Bacterial small subunit ribosomal RNA
Source: RNAcentral
CCUACGGGAGGCAGCAGUGAGGAAUAUUGGUCAAUGGACGCAAGUCUGAACCAGCCAUGCCGCGUGCAGGAAGACGGCUCUAUGAGUUGUAAACUGCUUUUGUACGAGGGUAAACGCAGAUACGCGUAUCUGUCUGACAGUAUCGUACGAAUAAGGAUCGGCUAACUCCGUGCCAGCAGCCGCGGUAAUACGGAGGAUCCAAGCGUUAUCCGGAUUUAUUGGGUUUAAAGGGUGCGUAGGCGGUCGGAUAAGUUAGAGGUGAAAUCCCGGGGCUCAACUUCGGAAUUGCAUCUGAUACUGUUCGGCGAGAGAGUAGUUGCGGUAGGCGGAAUGUAUGGUGUAGCGGUGAAAUGCUUAGAGAUCAUACAGAACACCGAUUGCGAAGGCAGCUUACCAAGCUACUUCUGACGUUGAGGCACGAAAGCGUGGGGAGCAAACAGGAUUAGAUACCCGAGUAGUC